RNAcentral lists this long non-coding RNA (302 nucleotides) under Musa acuminata (dwarf banana). Its description in RNAcentral is "long non-coding RNA (MACU_LNC008987)". The record is from RNAcentral. Lineage: Eukaryota; Viridiplantae; Streptophyta; Magnoliopsida; Zingiberales; Musaceae.
ACAUCGGUCUUACGAAGUUUCUUGGCCUCUGCCCUUCAGCCUUGUCUCGGUACUUGGAGUUUGCCUCUGCAUGCUCCACCUCCUCGGCCCCUUUCACGACCAAGCACUCUCCCUCCAUGAGAGCAAGAUCAAUGACUUUCACAGAAGUCCCACCUUUACGGUACCAUAGCGCUGCCAUGCCCAUGGCACUACUAUCCGUCGCCUCGCAUCUACAUCCCUUUUCUUCACAAUCAGUAGAUAUGCCUCUGUGGUACUCCUCCGAGUCCACCUCCAUUCUAACUGAUGCUUGAUUUUAGGUAGCU